AACAUUAAAUCACAUAAGUGAGUUAAGCUGAUACCUUAAAAGUAAGAACUGGUUCUUUAGUGUUA
This 65-nucleotide transfer RNA is filed under the name Flustra foliacea (greater hornwrack). RNAcentral describes it as "tRNA-Ile". The record is from RNAcentral. Lineage: Eukaryota; Metazoa; Bryozoa; Gymnolaemata; Cheilostomatida; Flustridae.